Mycobacterium scrofulaceum is the source of this 295-nucleotide non-coding RNA. NCBI's taxonomy places the organism in Bacteria, Bacillati, Actinomycetota, Actinomycetes, Mycobacteriales, Mycobacteriaceae. The record is from Rfam.
CCUCGGCCAUCAGCUGCGGGCAGAUCAGGUGCACAUGGCAGUCGACGGCGCCGGCGGUGACGAUGCGGCCGUUGCCGGCGAUGACCUCGGUGGACGGACCGACCACCAGGCCCGGGUGCACGCCGGUCAUGGUGUCGGGGUUGCCUGCCUUGCCGAUCGCGGAGAUGCGCCCGUCGCGAAUGCCGAUGUCGGCCUUGAUGAUUCCCCAGUGGUCGAUGAUCACCGCACCGGUGAUCACGGUGUCGGGCGCGCCCUCGGCGCGGGUGGCACGGCCCUGGCCCAUCGACUCGCGCAG